AUGGAAAUGAGGAGUCAUCUUCUUGGAACUACAGAUGGAAAAGAGGAGAAAGUGGUGACAAGGGGAGAUGCAAGUCUUGGUCCUGUUUGUGGCAAAUCAUUAGGUCCUUCUAUUACUUUGUAUUUGAAAACUGAUAUUUCCUUCUCUUGGAUGACACAAAGAAGCCAUUUAGUCCCAUGCACAUUGUACUUCUGUUCUGCCAUGUUCAAGUUGCCAUUUCUCUAUAUAGAAUUAUUUUUCACUUUGCCCAAUUUUAUUUGGUUUUAUGCUAUAUCCUGUGUGAAGGAUUCCUUUAUAUUGUGGAACAUAUUUGCUUUGAUCAUAAAAUAUAUUCUCAAAGUCACCCUCCACCAAAUGAGAUGAAAUCUCUUAACAUUAUAGAUUUUAAGCCUUAAUGUCAAGAGGAAAUUUGACGUGUUGUUACCCUGGUAGAUUGGAACCAACUCAGCUUUCUGAGGCAUGGGAAGUAUCCUAGGGUCCUGAUAGAGGUUAUAUAGAUAUGGAUAUACAUAUAAAUAUAUCAAUAUAGAUUUUUCCCCAUCUGAGCAUCCCAGAAAACAUACAUUUCAAGAGAAUAAUCCUAGAUCUAUUUUAGAAAAAAAAAAAAAACCAACAAUUCCCAAGACCUCCCUUGGAAAGGAAAGCAAGUGAUAAAUUGCAAGUCUCACUUAAAUUGCCACCCUCUUACUUGACAAUGUAAAUAAAAUGUUCUUCUGUGAAUGAAGAUGUAGGAGUCAGAAUAGCAUGACAAAUCUCUGUUUAUAUAGUUAUUAUCAAAAUAUUACUAACAAAUAUGCUUCCAUCAUCUUUUGGGGAGUAAUUGAUGGCAACAUGAAUGUUUAAUUUGAUACAUCAGAUAAAAAGCAAUGAGGAAUGGCACAUAUGUUGCUCUUCCUGCCACUAUUAUCACUGUUACUCAAAAGAAACAUUUAUGGAGCAUUGACCAUGGACACUUAUUAAGCUCAAAGGGGAUAAAACAAAGAACUGACAAGAGUUGCAAACAAAAGAUUAAAUAGAUGGGUAUAUAGGAAUAUGGAUAGAUGAUUGAUGAAAAGAAAGGAAGAAGGGAGCAAGGAGAUGGUGCCCAUGGGUAUGGAUUUGUGGCCUCCAGAAAUUCCCAGGAAUGAGAGCUCCUUUUCCAAGAGUUGCCCAGCAACAACCUCUCCCCACCAAAAAGAAAUAAACACUCUUCCUUCGAAAUAUAACUCAGCAGCCAUUUCAGGCAGGAGGAUUAUUGUGAAUGGGAUGUAUGCUAUCUGUCACUCUCACUGGCAAACCAAGCCAAAGAUGGCAGUGGGAGAGAAAGUGGAGUUGAAAGGAAGAGUUAGAUAAAAAGACUACAGAGAAGAGGGAAAGUGCAGGAGGGGAAGAAAAGAGGCAAGGAAAGAACAUAGAGGCAAUAGUCUAAAGCCAUCUAACUGGGCACAAUGAGUGUUCUGUAGCAUUCCAUAUGCUCACUGCCAAGCAUUGCUCCUUGCGGCUCAUCUGUAUUUCUUACCAAUGAGCAUCUAUUAUGCACCAGGUGCUCAGCUAGUUGCUCACAUAUGCUGUUUCAUAGCUACUGUCAUUGUCAGUAUUGAGAAAAUAACAAAUCUAGGUGAUAAUGAAGACACUGAUGAUGACCUCAACCUUGUGAUGUUAGCUCAUUCCAUCAUUCUCAGAUGCAUAGGUACUUAAAGAGCAGAUAAAUGGCUUGUUUUGGUUUUGCCCACAACCACUUGGUGGGGCAAGGAUUACUGUCACUAUUUGUAAGAGGAGUAAACAGAAAUGAUCCUUCAACGAAAUCUCAAAAUGAUAUCCACUUUGUUUCUGUCCACUGUUAUGACUUGAGGGUCUCAGAUGCAAUCCACUAAGCCCUGGUUUUCUUUAGUUCUAUAAGGGAUAGCCAGCCAGUUCUCAUCAUCUCCACUCCUUUAACUAGUGCUUGUCUGAGCUUCCUUGCUUAGUGAGCUGAGGAGUCACAAAAUUUUAUCUACAAGGAAAUGAAUUUAAGCCCGUGUUUUGGAUACUGUUAAGCCAAAGGAAUCAUCUCACUCUGAUGAAUGACUCAUGGUUUUAAGUGUAAAGAGGGAAGAAAGCUCCUCAAGGCAUUGGCUGGUGGCAGAUCUACUAUCUACUCAUAGUUCCCAUCUUCCUCUUGAAGAAGGUCAGGAACAUGGAGCCACCUUUAGAACUCUGCAGACCAACAGACCAACAGAAAGAGAUGAGGCCACUCUUCUAUUGGGACACACAAAUGUGACACUGUGAUUUUCCCCAGGGUCCCCACCACCAAAACUCAUAUAUACUGAUCCAAGCAGCCUAGGUCUACUGGCCUCCAAAACUACUGUGGACUCACCAUGUUCUUCAUUUUAGGUGACAGCAAAGAAGCCAAUCAUGACAUCAUGUCAACUUCAACUUGCCCUGUCCAUUCUUGGACACACGAGUGCUCAAUUUCCCAAUCAGACAGGUCCCUGGUCAAUCCUAGGACCCUGUAUGCAAUUACUUGAUAUGUGUAACUAAAAACACAAUUGGUUUCUUUAUCCAUGUAUUUAGUGGAACCUAACUGAACUGCUACUGUGCUCGCUCUCUCUGCUGGUUGCCUGGGCACAGAGAUGACCAAGACAUGUAAGAGGUCAGAGUCUCUACACAUGUGCUAUUGUAAAAUAAAACAAUCCUUCAGUUCAGUUCAGUUCAGUCACUCAGUUGUGUCCAACUCUUUGCGACCCCAUGAAUCGCAGCACACCAGGCCUCCCUGUCCAUCACCAACUCCCAGAGUUCACUCAAACUCAUGUCCAUCGAGUCAGUGAUGCCAUCCAGCCAUCUCAUCCUCUGUCGUCCCCUUCUCCUCUUGCCCCCAAUCCCUCCCAGCAUCAAAGUCUUUUCCAAUGAGUCAACUCUUCUCAUGAGGUGGCCAAAGUACUGGAGUUUCAGCUUCAGCAUCAUUCCUUCCAAAGAAAUCCCAGGGCUGAUCUCCUUCAGAAUGGACUGGUUGGAUCUCAGGAGACACAUAUUAUCUAUUUGCCCUGUUC
RNAcentral lists this long non-coding RNA (3008 nucleotides) under Ovis aries (sheep). RNAcentral describes it as "lncRNA (ENSOARG00000025379.1)". The record is from RNAcentral. Lineage: Eukaryota; Metazoa; Chordata; Mammalia; Artiodactyla; Bovidae.